GGUUAAAAAGCUCGUAGUUGGAUCUUGGAAUGUGAACGCGAGGUCGCUUUACUGAGUGAACUUUGUGGCGCAUUCUUCCAUUUGGUCGGUGUGUUUGUGCUCUUAAUUGAGUGCAACAUGCUACCAGAAAUUUUACCUUGAAAAAAUUAGAGUGUUCAAAGCAGACCUUUUUGUGUCUGAAUAUUCGUGCAUGGAAUAAUAAAAUAUGAAUUCGGUUCUAUUCUAUUGGUUUUCGGAACUCGAGUUAAUGAUUAAGAGGGACAGACGGGGGCAUCCGUACUCUGCCGUUAGAGGUGAAAUUCUUGGAUCGGCGGAAGACGCGCAACUGCGAAAGCAUUUGCCAAGAAUGUUUUCUUUAAUCAAGAACGAUAGUCGGAGGUUCGAAGACGAUCAGAUACCGUCCUAGUUUCGACUGUAAACUAUGCCAGCUAACGAUCAGACAGCGUUCUCUACGACUUGUCUGGCAGUUUCCGGGAAACCAAAGCUUUUGGGUUCCGGGGGAAGUAUGGUUGCAAAGCUGAAACUUAAAGGAAUUGACGGAAGGGCACCACCAGGAGUGGAGCCUGCGGCUUAAUUUGACUCAACACGGGGAAACUCACCCGGCCCGGACACAGUGAGGAUUGUCAGAUUGAGAGU
RNAcentral lists this ribosomal RNA (636 nucleotides) under uncultured marine eukaryote. Its description in RNAcentral is "SSU rRNA". It matches the Rfam family "Eukaryotic small subunit ribosomal RNA", at positions 617 to 1255 of the family's 1831-position model. The record is from RNAcentral.